GUGGGGAAUAUUGGACAAUGGGCGAAAGCCUGAUCCAGCCAUGCCGCGUGUGUGAAGAAGGUCUUCGGAUUGUAAAGCACUUUAAGUUGGGAGGAAGGGCAGUAAGUUAAUACCUUGCUGUUUUGACGUUACCGACAGAAUAAGCACCGGCUAACUUCGUGCCAGCAGCCGCGGUAAUACGAAGGGUGCAAGCGUUAAUCGGAAUUACUGGGCGUAAAGCGCGCGUAGGUGGUUUUGUAAGUUGGAGGUGAAAUCCCCGGGCUCAACCUGGGAACUGACUCAAAAACUGCAUGACUAGAGUACGGUAGAGGGUAGUGGAAUUUCCUGUGUAGCGGUGAAAUGCGUAGAUAUAGGAAGGAACACCAGUGGCGAAGGCGACUACCUGGACUGAUACUGACACUGAGGUGCGAAAGCGUGGGGAGCAAACAGGAUUAGAUACCCCAGUAGUCC
This 450-nucleotide ribosomal RNA is filed under the name uncultured bacterium. RNAcentral describes it as "partial 16S ribosomal RNA". It matches the Rfam family "Bacterial small subunit ribosomal RNA", at positions 354 to 796 of the family's 1533-position model. The record is from RNAcentral.